RNAcentral lists this small RNA (99 nucleotides) under Paenibacillus polymyxa. RNAcentral describes it as "Guanidine-I sequence". It matches the Rfam family "Guanidine-I riboswitch aptamer". From Rfam's summary of the family: This family represents a conserved RNA structure found upstream of the ykkC and yxkD genes in Bacillus subtilis and related genes in other bacteria. The function of this family is unclear although it has been suggested that it may function to switch on efflux pumps and detoxification systems in response to harmful environmental molecules. RNAcentral also lists the same sequence under 1 other name. The record is from RNAcentral. Lineage: Bacteria; Bacillati; Bacillota; Bacilli; Caryophanales; Paenibacillaceae.
AAAAAUGUUUUCUAGGGUUCCGCGAUGUCAUAUCGGCUGGUCCGAGAGAAAACUCACAGUCGUUGUACUGUGUCACGGAGGGAUAAAAGCCUGGGAGAA